AGGGCUGUGGCUCAGUGGUACAGCAUCUGCUUGGCGUGCCGAAGGUCCCAGGAUCAAUCCCUGGUAGCUUCA
This 72-nucleotide transfer RNA is filed under the name Sphaerodactylus townsendi. RNAcentral describes it as "tRNA-Ala". It matches the Rfam family "tRNA". Rfam says of the family: Transfer RNA (tRNA) molecules are approximately 80 nucleotides in length. The record is from RNAcentral. Lineage: Eukaryota; Metazoa; Chordata; Lepidosauria; Squamata; Sphaerodactylidae.